Long non-coding RNA from Chelonia mydas (Green sea turtle), 675 nucleotides. RefSeq lists it as uncharacterized. The record is from RefSeq and is a predicted model, not a curated record. NCBI's taxonomy places the organism in Eukaryota, Metazoa, Chordata, Testudines, Cheloniidae. The transcript has 2 exons.
GCUAUCUGUAUUGAACAACAGGGGAGAACAAUUAGACCACAGUUCAAAAUAGGUUUCACUCUCACUGUGAAGAGCCCGUGAGAGUAGAGCCGAGAGCAAUGGCUGGCUAGCCUUUAUCAGAAAUCAUAAAGAAGAAGAUUAAUGUGUUUUCCAUUGUGAGAGACAUUUUUGAACAUUUGGCUUGGGAAAUACUGUUACUGAAAAAAAAAAAGGAAAAUGUAUGAAAAAUGAGACUAGGUAGUAUGGUAUUCUGAUACAGUAAAAUCAAACCACUCAACUUGUCUGCACUCCCACCCCAGACUUUGACAGGGUGUAAGUGAAAAGCAGAAUUUGGAUCUACAAGUACAAUAGUGCUAGAGUACCACACAGUGUAACUAAUGUAUCCAUUUUGACCUCAGUCAUACUCAGACAGAAAAUUAUCUGCUAUUAACACACCCACUUUAUGUAUCCUGCUUCCCAAACAAAUUUGGUUUAAUGUGAAUGUAGGAUGGGGUAAUUUGACUCUCUGCAAUCACAGCAGACAGCUGUGAGUGAUACAAGACAUGAAAAUGAAUAAUCCCUGCCUUGCUCACGGGGAAUAGAGGGUGCUCUGUAGUUGUUAUGCUGUGAUGUAGACAUAACUACCACGUAUUAGAUACAGCAGCAUAAAAUAAAUCUUUAAUUCUAAUAGUGUUA